AGCGGCGGACGGGUGAGUGACACGUGGGUAACCUGCCUUAAUGAGGGGGAUAGCCUUCCGAAAGGAAGAUUAAUACCGCAUAACAUUGAGUUUUCGCAUGAAAACUCAAUCAAAGAUUUAUCGCAUUAAGAUGGACCCGCGGCGCAUUAGCUAGUUGGUGAGGUAACGGCUCACCAAGGCCACGAUGCGUAGCCGACCUGAGAGGGUGAUCGGCCACAUUGGGACUGAGACACGGCCCAGACUCCUACGGGAGGCAGCAGUGGGGAAUAUUGCACAAUGGGGGAAACCCUGAUGCAGCAACGCCGCGUGAGUGAAGAAGGUCUUCGGAUCGUAAAGCUCUGUCUUUGGGGACGAUAAUGACGGUACCCAAGGAGGAAGCCACGGCUAACUACGUGCCAGCAGCCGCGGUAAUACGUAGGUGGCAAGCGUUGUCCGGAAUUACUGGGCGUAAAGGAUGCGUAGGCGGAUAUGUAAGUCAGAUGUGAAAUACCCGGGCUCAACUUGGGUGCUGCAUUUGAAACUGCAUGUCUAGAGUGCGGGAGAGGAAAGUGGAAUUCCUAGUGUAGCGGUGAAAUGCGUAGAGAUUAGGAAGAACACCAGUGGCGAAGGCGACUUUCUGGACCGUAACUGACGCUGAGGCAUGAAAGCGUGGGUAGCAGACAGGAUUAGAUACCCUGGUAGUCCACGCC
RNAcentral lists this ribosomal RNA (689 nucleotides) under uncultured bacterium. RNAcentral describes it as "bacterial SSU rRNA". It matches the Rfam family "Bacterial small subunit ribosomal RNA", at positions 94 to 801 of the family's 1533-position model. The record is from RNAcentral.